This 35-nucleotide transfer RNA is filed under the name Cerastium fontanum subsp. vulgare. RNAcentral describes it as "partial tRNA-Ser". The record is from RNAcentral. Lineage: Eukaryota; Viridiplantae; Streptophyta; Magnoliopsida; Caryophyllales; Caryophyllaceae. RNAcentral also lists the same sequence under 24 other names.
CAGACCGGAGCUAUCAACCACUCAGCCAUCUCUCC